This 250-nucleotide ribosomal RNA is filed under the name uncultured Staphylococcus sp. RNAcentral describes it as "partial 16S ribosomal RNA". It matches the Rfam family "Bacterial small subunit ribosomal RNA", at positions 90 to 334 of the family's 1533-position model. Lineage: Bacteria; Bacillati; Bacillota; Bacilli; Caryophanales; Staphylococcaceae. The record is from RNAcentral.
CGUUAGCGGCGGACGGGUGAGUAACACGUGGGUAACCUACCUAUAAGACUGGGAUAACUCCGGGAAACCGGGGCUAAUACCAGAUAACACAUGAAACCGCAUGGUUUCAUGAUGAAAGACGGUUUUGCUGUCACUUAUAGAUGGACCCGCGGCGUAUUAGCUAGUUGGUAAGGUAACGGCUUACCAAGGCAACGAUACGUAGCCGACCUGAGAGGGUGAUCGGCCACACUGGAACUGAGACACGGUCCAG